Non-coding RNA from Paramuricea clavata, 1749 nucleotides. The record is from the annotation of a GenBank genome assembly. NCBI's taxonomy places the organism in Eukaryota, Metazoa, Cnidaria, Anthozoa, Malacalcyonacea, Plexauridae.
AGUCAAGCAAGUGAAGCCAAAAACAUGGCGGAUUUUCAAGGAUUUUCACGUUUGCUGACGCCAGAAUGACGCCACUGGUCCCAAAUCCUCGUGGUAAUUACCACUGAGCAAGGCUCAUUUUGAGCCCGCUACCACUUUCUCAUCCCCCUGAUUUUCACAAAAAUAUUUUAGCUUUUUGUUUUGAAGUUUGCCUCGGUGUUUGCCUUCUCUUCAGUCGACAUUUUAACAUUUGUUUCGAGUUGCACAAGUGGUAAGAAUCAUCCUGGCUAGUGAAAGACAGGGAACGAAUCUUCAAACCUCAAGAAAUUUUGGAAAGACGUUAUUUGUAAAGGUAAAAAAAUACUGUUUAUAUGUUCAAUAUUAAUUUGUGAUAGAGUAUGUCAAAACAAAGCGAAAUAAACAGCCCAUUUGUACUGUGUAGUGGACAAUUUUAGCAACUGAUGUAUACAAUUAAGUUGCCCAAACUAUAUUAAUACGAGAAACAGUCUUCCUCGAAAGAAAAUGGUUGAAAUUUCAGAUUUUAGUUUCAUUUGUUUAUAUUUCAAAUUUUACGAUAUAAAAUGCCAGUCGACCACCAUCUGCUUCAUGAUCAUACUUAUUAAAAUUAAAGUGGUUUCUAUUAUAUUAGUAUACCUAUAGAGGAAGACCUUUUUAAGCCAGAACUAUCAUGGCUUGGCUUUGAAUGAUUUAAUCCAUGUACUUUAUAGUUAACUGGCCACUGAUGGCAAUGAAAUUAUAAUGACUAAUGUGUAGAAUUAUCAAGUCUAGAUCCAAAAAUUGGCAGUUUCAUAUAUAAGAUCAGGCAUAUAUAAGAUCAAAGCUAGUUUCAUAUAUAAGAUCAGGUUUAGAGGCCUGUAGCAUUUUCUCUAGAAAUUGCAUGAGUAAAAUCAAUUUCAUAAUUAACCCGUUGAGCCGCAAUGCGCCCUAUUUAUUUUUUUACUUGCCAGAUGAUUUUACUUGUCAAUGGGGAAGCUCUGUAGCUUAUCGGUUAACCAAAAAAAACUGACAAUGUCUCUAGUUAACCUAUUGAGCCGCAAUGCGCCCCAGUGUGCCCUACUUUUUUUUUACUUUCUAAAGCCAGACAAUAUCACUCGUCAAUGGGGAAGCUCUGCAGCUUAGAUGAUAUUUGAUGUUGGUAAUUCAUGUAUAUUUGGAGGAAAAUAUUUUAGACAGUGGUUGUUUGCCUGACACCAAACCCCAAUAUUUACAUGCUAUUUGUCUAAGUGAACUAUUUUCCUCAUUCUUUCAACAUGCCAAAGUGAUACAAAAUAAAUUUCAGUUGAAUUCAAGCAAGUCCUCGGGCCCGUAAGUUGUCAACUGACGACUAUCACCUUCAUUGUUAGUUAAGUAUAUAUCUGCUUAAGUCCUGGGUUCAAAUGAGUGGAAUUUCAAGAGCAUUCUGACUGGCUUUGUGCAAACAGGGGGCCUUACCGGUUAGGAUGAGGGCCAGUUGAGGUGUUAGGGUUGGGUGCAGGCAAGGUUCAUGUAAACUUAUUGUUAGCAAGAAUCAGAGAAGGAUUUUCAUAUUUUUGUUCGGGGGGGGAUAAAUAUCUGGGGGGGGGGUGAUGCUGCUUGCUUUGGCCGGGGCCUGGUGGCAACACCUGGAAAGGCCAAGGAAAAAGUUUAACAAAAUUUGUUUUCUAUGUCUGCAUGGCAAGAUCUGAGACCAUAAUAUUGGUAAUUUUACAAAUUUAGUAGUAAGAAUAAUCAAAUAUGAAACUAUCAAAUCAAAAUAUAUAUAAUUUGUGG